This 294-nucleotide ribosomal RNA is filed under the name uncultured bacterium. Its description in RNAcentral is "partial 16S ribosomal RNA". It matches the Rfam family "Bacterial small subunit ribosomal RNA", at positions 775 to 1067 of the family's 1533-position model. The record is from RNAcentral.
GGAUUAGAUACCCUGGUAGUCCACGCUGUAAACGAUGUCAACUAGCCGUUGGGAGCAUUUUGGCUCUUGGUGGCGCAGCUAACGCGAUAAGUUGACCGCCUGGGGAGUACGGUCGCAAGAUUAAAACUCAAAGGAAUUGACGGGGGCCCGCACAAGCGGUGGAGCAUGUGGUUUAAUUCGAUGCAACGCGAAGAACCUUACCUGCCCUUGACAUCCUGGGAAGGUCCUAGAGAUAGGACUGUGCCUUCGGGAACCCAGUGACAGGUGCUGCAUGGCUGUCGUCAGCUCGUGCCG